CCACCCCCACCCCCCCCCCCCCUUCUCUCUCUGAUCUCUGUAUGUAAAGCGAGAAAAAAAAUUUCCUGGAAACCACUUCAACCAUCAGUCCGUCACCGGAAAGCCUACCGUCCACAGGCAGAGCAACCAGCACCUGCUGGUUCUAUCUCCCUUUGCUCUCAUCAAUGGAGCUCUCCCACCCACCACCACCUGAUUUGUCCCUCCAGAUUAGCCCUCCUGAACCCAAAACCGCCUCCACAUGGAGGAAUGGCUCAAACCCAGAUGCUCAGGUGGGCUUCUGGUGCCAGUCACUAGACCCCAAUCGGCUUAACCCCAUCAAACCAGAAGCCUUCUUCGACCUCUCCCUCGCCUGCCCCACGCUCCCGGAAUCCGGCGCCAUCCCGGCUAGAGUUUUCCAUGAUUCCAUGGAGCCCAGGGCUUAUCAUCACUACGCCGGCCAUCACUACGUUCACGACUAUGGGUUCAGGCCUAUAAGAGGUGUCCCCAUCUACAAUCCGCCCUCCUUUCCCUUCCUUCCCUCCGAGAGCUUCAAUCCGACCAUCCUGUCGGAUUCCUCCACUCCUCCGUAUCCAUGUCCGGCCGUUGGGACGUUCAGAUCGAGGAUCGCGGCGAGGUUCCCGGUGAAGCGCAGCCUGCGAGCGCCGCGGAUGCGGUGGACGAGCUCGCUCCACGCCCGUUUCGUCCACGCUGUGGAGCUCCUAGGAGGCCAUGAGAGAGCAACACCAAAAUCUGUUCUCGAGCUCAUGGAUGUGAAAGAUCUCACUCUAGCACAUGUGAAAAGCCAUUUGCAGAUGUAUAGAACAGUCAAGACUACUGACAAGCCUGCUGUAUCGUCAGGACAACAGGAAGGAUUUGAAACAGGCCAUGGUGGUGAGAUCUGUGAUGAGCUUCCACCAGGAAACGCGGCGUCAACGGCAGAUUACAUGAGUUCUAGCACAGCACAGGAUCCCCAUUUUCUGCAUCAAAGUUUAUGGAGCAACUCUUCUAGUAGGGGAGCUUGGGUGCACGGUGCAGGUUCAGUGGAUUCUCAGUCUAGCAUGCCUCCUUUAAAGGAAAAAAGCAGCAGCCCGGAGAGCUCUACCACUAUCUCUGGAGCAAACAACAAAAGCCCCAAUCUAGAGUUUACUUUGGGAAGACCUGACUGAUUCGUUUGGAAAAAUUUCAUUAAUUUCUAUGGUUUCUCUAUAAGGAAAUGAAAGGGAGAGAAGCAAGGUCCAGCACAACAGAGAAAAGAAGAAGAAACGUCAUGAAGAGGGGAGAAAGAGAAAGAGAGAUGGUUUGCUAAUGCUAAUGAUGGGUUGAGGCUUGUGUAUGUGCAUGCCCAUUUGAAACUUAAUGGCCCUAAAAACAAGAAACAAAAAAAAAAGAUUUGUGCUUUGAUUUUGUGAGAAUUUAGUGUUCCUUUCCAUGCAAGCAUCGAAUGGAACGUGCAUGAGAUAUAAAGAAAAGGAAGAAAGACAAAGGGAAGAUCAGAUCAAACCGUCCCUUCAUGAUAAAGCGCCUCAAAGCAAGUUCCUUCUUUUCUCUUGGUAAUUGUAAUCUUUUCAGACAGCUGCAGCAGCUUUACCAUUGAUAAAUAAUUAUCGGAAGGCGUUCAUGCGUCCUACAUCUUUCUUCUUAUCCAUCGGAGCAGAAGCUUCGACCGUACCAGGGCAUGACCGCGCUGCAAGGACUUUACGAGCACCACUGCUAUGAAAGAAGAAGUCAUGCAUUGAAAGCAUUUGCCGUAUGUCGUCCUUAUAGGUGUUUGCUUUUUGGCUGUCAUUGGAGAGAUACAGAUUGAGGCUCCUCAAACACUUUUUGAUCAUGAACUUCUGAUGUGGCCCAUUGCAUUGAGCCACUUAGGGAAAAGUGAGUUGGUGGACAUGACUCCUCGAUGUUAGAAAAAUGAAGAUGACAAGAAGUGCUAUUGUUGGUUCCAGAAGUGGGAGACGCUGAGGCCUUGGGCCCCUGGAAGUGUCAAACUGACAUUUCCUUGUAAUGUGUAUUUGUUCUUCUUGUGCGUCCAAUAUUGAGAUCAUGGUUGAACACCAAUACUUGAUAGACAAUUGAACCGGUCUGGUAUGCCAGGCAUAUUAUUUUGCUAGCUUUA
Nymphaea colorata (pocket water lily) is the source of this 2092-nucleotide RNA transcript. It is a transcript of the gene named probable transcription factor KAN2, with no coding region annotated. The transcript has 8 exons. The record is from RefSeq and is a predicted model, not a curated record. NCBI's taxonomy places the organism in Eukaryota, Viridiplantae, Streptophyta, Magnoliopsida, Nymphaeales, Nymphaeaceae.